RNAcentral lists this ribosomal RNA (403 nucleotides) under uncultured bacterium. Its description in RNAcentral is "partial 16S ribosomal RNA". It matches the Rfam family "Bacterial small subunit ribosomal RNA", at positions 30 to 526 of the family's 1533-position model. The record is from RNAcentral.
AUUGAACGAUGGCGGCAGGCCUAACACAUGCAAGUCGAGCGAGCGGCGGACGGGUGAGUAAUGUAUGGGGACUGCCCGAUAGAGGGGGAUAACUACUGGAAACGGUGGCUAAUACCGCAUACUAUCGGAUAACCCAUAUGGGAUUAGCUAGUAGGUGGGGUAAAGGCUAACCUAGGCGACGAUGCCUAGCUGGUCUGAGAGGCUGAUCGGCCACACUGGGACUGGGACACGGCCCAGACUCCUACGGAGGCAGCAGUGGGGAAUAUUGCACAAUGGACGCAAGCCUGAUGCAGCCAUGCCGCGUGUAUGAAGAAGGCCUUAGGUUUGUAAAGUACUUUCAGCAGGGAGGCGUUACCCACAGAGGAAGCACCGGCUAACUCCGUGCCAGCAGCCGCGGUAAUAC